RNAcentral lists this ribosomal RNA (253 nucleotides) under uncultured bacterium. RNAcentral's name for it is "partial 16S ribosomal RNA". It matches the Rfam family "Bacterial small subunit ribosomal RNA", at positions 524 to 776 of the family's 1533-position model. The record is from RNAcentral.
GCCGGAGGAUGCAAUCGUUAUCCGGAAUUAUUGGGCGUAAAGGGUGCGUAGGUGGUCAGACAAGUCCCAUGUCAAAGCAUGGUGCUUAACGCCACAAAGGCGUGGGAAACUGUGUGACUAGAGUACAGCAGGGGCAGGAGGAAUUCCCGGUGUAGCGGUGAAAUGCGUAGAUAUCGGGAAGAACACCAGUGGCGCAGGCGUUCUGCUGGGCUGUGACUGACACUGAGGCGCGAAAGCUAGGGGAGCGAAAGGG